This 475-nucleotide ribosomal RNA is filed under the name uncultured bacterium. RNAcentral's name for it is "SSU rRNA". It matches the Rfam family "Bacterial small subunit ribosomal RNA", at positions 26 to 518 of the family's 1533-position model. The record is from RNAcentral.
AGGAUGAACGCUGGCGGCGUGCUUAACACAUGCAAGUCGAACGGUGAAAGAGAGCUUGCUCUCUGGAUCAGUGGCGAACGGGUGAGUAACACGUGAGUAACCUGCCCUUGACUCUGGGAUAAGCGUUGGAAACGACGUCUAAUACCGGAUACGACCUCCGAAGGCAUCUUCUGGAGGUGGAAAGAAUUUCGGUCAAGGAUGGACUCGCGGCCUAUCAGCUAGUUGGUGAGGUAAUGGCCCACCAAGGCGACGACGGGUAGCCGGCCUGAGAGGGUGACCGGCCACACUGGGACUGAGACACGGCCCAGACUCCUACGGGAGGCAGCAGUGGGGAAUAUUGCACAAUGGGCGCAAGCCUGAUGCAGCAACGCCGCGUGAGGGACGACGGCCUUCGGGUUGUAACCUCUUUAGUAGGAAGAAGCGAAAGUGACGGUACCUGCAGAAAAGCACCGGCUAACUACGUGCCAGCAGCCGC